UACCAGCACCCCGAGUGGUCGGGACGAUUAUUGGGCCUAAAGCAUCCGUAGCCGGUUUUACAAGUCCUCCGUUAAAUCCACCUGCUUAACAGAUGGGCUGCGGAGGAUACUAUGGAGCUAGGAGGCGGGAGAGGCAAGCGGUACUUAGUGGGUAGGGGUAAAAUCCGUUGAUCCAUUGAAGACCACCAGUGGCGAAGGCGGCUUGCCAGAACGCACUCGACGGUGAGGGAUGAAAGCUGGGGGAGCAAACCGG
Molecule: ribosomal RNA, 253 nt
Filed under: uncultured bacterium
Lineage: Bacteria
Description: partial 16S ribosomal RNA
Rfam family: Archaeal small subunit ribosomal RNA
Source: RNAcentral